RNAcentral lists this ribosomal RNA (141 nucleotides) under Limosilactobacillus reuteri. Its description in RNAcentral is "Lactobacillus reuteri partial 23S ribosomal RNA". It matches the Rfam family "Bacterial large subunit ribosomal RNA", at positions 2788 to 2925 of the family's 2925-position model. Lineage: Bacteria; Bacillati; Bacillota; Bacilli; Lactobacillales; Lactobacillaceae. The record is from RNAcentral.
UGAAACUCGCCUCGAGAUGAGAUUUCCCAUUUCCUUCGGGAAAGUAAGACCCCUCAUAGAUGAUGAGGUAGAUAGGAUGGAAGUGGAAGUGCCGUGAGGCAUGGAGCGGACCAUUACUAAUCGGUCGAGGACUUAACCAAG